RNAcentral lists this ribosomal RNA (382 nucleotides) under Ancistrocercus circumdatus. RNAcentral describes it as "SSU rRNA". It matches the Rfam family "Eukaryotic small subunit ribosomal RNA", at positions 14 to 385 of the family's 1831-position model. Lineage: Eukaryota; Metazoa; Arthropoda; Insecta; Orthoptera; Tettigoniidae. The record is from RNAcentral.
CUGCCAGUAGUCAUAUGCUUGUCUCAAAGAUUAAGCCAUGCAUGUCUCAGUGCAAGCCAAAUUAAGGUGAAACCGCGAAUGGCUCAUUAAAUCAGUUAUGGUUCCUUAGAUCGUACCAAGUUACUUGGAUAACUGUGGUAAUUCUAGAGCUAAUACAUGCAAACAGAGUCCCGACCUAACCGGAAGGGACGCUUUUAUUAGAUCAAAACCAAUCGGUCGGUUUGUCCGGCCGUUUGCCUUGGUGACUCUGAAUAACUUUGGGCUGAUCGCACGGUCCUGUACCGGCGACGCAUCUUUCAAAUGUCUGCCUUAUCAACUGUCGAUGGUAGGUUCUGCGCCUACCAUGGUUGUAACGGGUAACGGGGAAUCAGGGUUCGAUUCG